AGAGUUUUAAGUUAAAAUAAAACUAUAAAUUUUCAAAAUUUAUUAUAAAUAUAAUUGUUUAAAUUCUG
Molecule: transfer RNA, 68 nt
Filed under: Bolitaena pygmaea
Lineage: Eukaryota; Metazoa; Mollusca; Cephalopoda; Octopoda; Bolitaenidae
Description: tRNA-Trp
Source: RNAcentral